CGGGAACCGAGGCUUCACCCAGUGGAAUUCCACGGUACAUGACAGUGAACCUGGACUUGGGUGGUGACAGUGGCGGAGUUGGAAUUGGGUGUGAUUAUGCCCAUGUACUGGACACCGACUUGUUGGAGAUCGAAAGAGGGUUUCUUGGGUUGGUGACAGUGGCGGAGCUCUGUCGUCGGAUCGGGGCCUGUAGGUCACAGAUCGGUUGGUGUUGGUCACGAUCUCUCUGACUUGGGUUUGUUUUUCCAUGUGGGUUUGAUGAUUUUUCUGGGUUUGUGGGUUUGAUUUGUUGGAGGUUUCGGUGGAGGAUGGUGUUUGGAUGGAAAAUGGGAACAUCGCCGGUGGUGGUCGUGGCAUGCGUCAAGAAGAGAAUCCAUUGCCCAUGAGUGGGUAUCUGGGUUUGUUUGAGACUUGUGUGACUAAGUUUGUUCAGAUUUGGGUAUCCUUGCUCUUGUUCUGGGUUUGUUUUUGUUUUUUUGGAGAGAACGUGGAGUUUUGUUUUUAAGGGUUUUUUUUGUGCGUUUGUUUCUUAAGAAAAAAUCUGGGUUUAUGGGUUUGUUAGAGAGUGAAUUGGUUACUGGGUUUAUGGGUUUAUUUCUUCGAUUUAUAUAUGGUUUGGUUUCUUGGAUUUAUUUCUUGUUUUUCUGGAAUUUGAUGGAGUAGAUUUUGUUGCUGGAUUUGGAUUUGGGGUUUGCUGGAGAUUGGUUUAUUUCAUGGAUUUAGGAAGAACACGGAGAACAACUUCAGUUCUUACGAAAAAAAUAAUGAAAGUAAAAAAAAAAAAAAAAAAAAAAAAAAUUUUGUUUUUUAAUUUAUUUUCUUUUUUUGGUCUAAAUUAUCUGACAUUCUUUUUAGGGAAAAUUACACUUUACCCACCUGUGCUUUAUUCAAAAAAUACUUUACCCACCUGUGGUUUAAAAAAUGACACUUUACCUACCUGUGGUCUAAUAUGUUAACCAAACGUUUACCCACCUCAGUCCUGCCGUUACUCUAACACUAUUCCACUCAAAAAAACAACAGCAAUUGAAUCAAAUCACUUUCCUGAGAAAGAAAAAAAACUUCCUUAUACCCGUACACCCCUGUUUGAGAUUGUGAUCCACUCCAUCAAGAUCAACCGGUGAAACUCUCGGCAUCAAGAGAAGAAGGCAGUCCUAUCAAAACCCAUGUGAAGGAUAUUGAAGAUUUUCUCUCUUGAUGUUUAUAGCAGUAAUUUCAGUGAAGGUUUCUUGAGCAACUUGUGCAAUGUAUUCAUCAAGUGGCACUUAUUCUACAACAACUCAUUUUUGCCAAUGCUUCAAAGGGAAAAGUCAGCUAGGGAAAUGGAAGAAAAAACUAUUAAGAGGGAAAUAAAAGCUCCUGAACAAUAUGUAGAAGCUAGGGAGAAAGCAAUGAAGACAAGAGAUAAUGAGAGAUUGUGCAAGCUUGGGGAUUUUUUGUGUUUGUAAUGUUGGUUUUUUGUUUUGCUUUACUGCAACAAAACAGAAUUUAAGAGAUUUAGGUCUAGCAUGAUGGUUAUGUGUUUGUUUUGUUGAGGUUGGCUGGAUCAUUGAGCUUAGUUCAGUGUGUAAAUUUUAUUGUUUUGUAGGUUGAAUGCUCAAAUGGUCAUUUUGUAAGUUGUAUUGUUGUAAUAUAACAACUUUGGUAAUAGAAUCACCUAAUUUGAUUGUUGGUAAUAAA
This is a long non-coding RNA of Quercus lobata, 1677 nucleotides long. RefSeq lists it as uncharacterized. NCBI's taxonomy places the organism in Eukaryota, Viridiplantae, Streptophyta, Magnoliopsida, Fagales, Fagaceae. The record is from RefSeq and is a predicted model, not a curated record. The transcript has 2 exons.